GGGUGAUCCAGGCAUUCCAGGUUGACCUGGACCCCCUGGGCCUUUUGGCCCUCCAGGUCCUCGGAGGCCGACUGGAAUUCCAGGAGGUAAAGGGCCAAAGGGAAGCAUGGGAGACCAGGGUAGAAAUCCCCCCAAAGGUGAAAAGGGAGAGGUAGGAUUACCUGGUCUCAAAGGUCCCAAAGGCUCCAUCACAACUUUAUCAGGAAACAAACCGGACGAGGUUCUGAUGGGAGAAAAGGGAUAUCGGGGAGACCCA
Long non-coding RNA from Saccostrea echinata, 256 nucleotides. RefSeq lists it as uncharacterized. The record is from RefSeq and is a predicted model, not a curated record. NCBI's taxonomy places the organism in Eukaryota, Metazoa, Mollusca, Bivalvia, Ostreida, Ostreidae. The transcript is spliced from 3 exons.